GACGAACGCUGGCGGCGUGCCUAAUACAUGCAAGUAGAACGCUGAAGGAGGAGCUUGCUCUUCUGGAUGAGUUGCGAACGGGUGAGUAACGCGUAGGUAACCUGCCUGGUAGCGGGGGAUAACUAUUGGAAACGAUAGCUAAUACCGCAUAACAGUAGAUGUUGCAUGACAUUUGCUUAAAAGGUGCAAUUGCACCACUACCAGAUGGACCUGCGUUGUAUUAGCUAGUUGGUGGGGUACCGGCUCACCAAGGCGACGAUACAUAGUCGACCUGAGAGGGGGUUCGGCCACACUGGGACUGAGUCUCGGCCCCGACUCCUUCGGGAGGCAGCAGUAGGGCAUCUUUGGCAAUGGCCGGCAGUCUGACCGAGCAACGCCGCGUCAGUGAAGCAGGUUUUCGGAUCGUAAAGCUCUGUUGUAAGAGAAGAUCGAGUGUGAGAGUGGAAAGUUCACACUGUGACGGUCUCUUACCAGAAAGGGACGGCUAACUACGUG
This 495-nucleotide ribosomal RNA is filed under the name uncultured bacterium. RNAcentral's name for it is "partial 16S ribosomal RNA". It matches the Rfam family "Bacterial small subunit ribosomal RNA", at positions 28 to 507 of the family's 1533-position model. The record is from RNAcentral.